This 787-nucleotide small RNA is filed under the name uncultured Cryptococcus. Its description in RNAcentral is "eukaryotic LSU rRNA". The stretch from base 502 to 787 matches the Rfam family "Eukaryotic large subunit ribosomal RNA", at positions 1 to 281 of the family's 3401-position model. The record is from RNAcentral. Lineage: Eukaryota; Fungi; Basidiomycota; Tremellomycetes.
CUUGGUCAUUUAGAGGAAGUAAAAGUCAUAACAAGGUUUCCGUAGGUGAACCUGCGGAAGGAUCAUUAAUAAUGCCCUCUGACGCAAGUCAUUGGGUUAGAUCUGCUCUCUUCGCAAGAAGAGGGUUUCCAUACACACCGUGAACUGUGGCUUCGACCAUCACAAACUGUUAGUAAUGAAUGUAAUAUCAUAACAAAAACAAAACUUUUAACAACGGAUCUCUUGGCUCUCGCAUCGAUGAAGAACGCAGCGAAAUGCGAUAAGUAAUGUGAAUUGCAGAAUUCAGUGAAUCAUCGAAUCUUUGAACGCACCUUGCGCCCUUUGGUAUUCCGAAGGGCAUGCCUGUUUGAGUGUCAUGAAACCUCACCCCACUUGGGUUUUUGCCUGAGCGGUGGUGUAUUGGGUGUUGCCUUGCUAAAGGCUCGCCUUAAAGACAUAAGCACCUUGGAUGUAAUACGUUUCAUCCUUCUGGGUGGCUGAUAACCCCACAUAUUCAUGAUCUGGCCUCAAAUCAGGUAGGGCUACCCGCUGAACUUAAGCAUAUCAAUAAGCGGAGGAAAAGAAACUAACUAGGAUUCCCUUAGUAACGGCGAGUGAACCGGGAUGAGCUCAAAUUUAAAAUCUGGCGUCUUUCAGGCGUCCGAGUUGUAAUCUAUAGAGGCGUUUUCCGCGCCGGACCGCGUCCAAGUCUCUUGGAAUAGAGUAUCAAAGAGGGUGACAAUCCCGUACUUGACGCGACAACCGGUGCUCUGUGAUACGUUCUCAAUGAGUCGAGUUGUUUGGGAAU